This 253-nucleotide ribosomal RNA is filed under the name uncultured bacterium. RNAcentral describes it as "partial 16S ribosomal RNA". It matches the Rfam family "Bacterial small subunit ribosomal RNA", at positions 524 to 776 of the family's 1533-position model. The record is from RNAcentral.
UACGUAGGGUGCAAGCGUUGUCCGGAAUUAUUGGGCGUAAAGAGCUCGUAGGCGGUCUGUCGCGUCGGCUGUGAAAACCCGAGGCUCAACCUCGGGCCUGCAGUCGAUACGGGCAAACUAGAGUACUGCAGGGGAGACUGGAAUUCCUGGUGUAGCGGUGAAAUGCGCAGAUAUCUGGAGGAACACCGGUGGCGAAGGCGGCAUCCUGGACCGACACUGACGCUGAGGAGCGAAAGCCAGGGGAGCAAACGGG